AGAGUUUGAUCCUGGCUCAGAACGAACGCUGGCGGCAGGCCUAACACAUGCAAGUCGAACGAACCCCUCGGGGUGAGUGGCGCACGGGUGCGUAACACGUGGGAAUAUACCCUUCAGUACGGAACAACACAGAGAAAUUUGUGCUAAUACCGUAUAAUAACUCCGGUUCAAAGAUUUAUCGCUGAAGGAUUAGCCCGCGUUUGAUUAGAUAGUUGGUGAGGUAAGAGCUCACCAAGUCGACGAUCAAUAGCUGGUUUGAGAGGAUGAUCAGCCACACUGGAACUGAGACACGGUCCAGACUCCUACGGGAGGCAGCAGUGAGGAAUAUUGGACAAUGGGCGAAAGCCUGAUCCAGCCAUGCCGCGUGAGUGACGACGGCCUUAGGGUUGUAAAGCUCUUUCAGAUGCGAAGAUAAUGACGGUAACAUCAGAAGAAGCUCCGGCUAAAUUCGUGCCAGCAGCCGCGGUAAUA
RNAcentral lists this ribosomal RNA (471 nucleotides) under uncultured Alphaproteobacteria bacterium. RNAcentral's name for it is "bacterial SSU rRNA". It matches the Rfam family "Bacterial small subunit ribosomal RNA", at positions 8 to 525 of the family's 1533-position model. The record is from RNAcentral. Lineage: Bacteria; Pseudomonadati; Pseudomonadota; Alphaproteobacteria.